This 216-nucleotide ribosomal RNA is filed under the name uncultured bacterium. Its description in RNAcentral is "partial 16S ribosomal RNA". It matches the Rfam family "Bacterial small subunit ribosomal RNA", at positions 1285 to 1500 of the family's 1533-position model. The record is from RNAcentral.
UACUCAGUUCGGAUUGUAGUCUGCAACUCGACUACAUGAAGCUGGAAUCGCUAGUAAUCGCAGAUCAGAAUGCUGCGGUGAAUACGUUCCCGGGUCUUGUACACACCGCCCGUCACACCAUGGGAGUCGGAAAUGCCCGAAGCCGGUGACCCAACCAAAAGGAGGGAGCCGUCGAAGGCAGGUCUGAUAACUGGGGUGAAGUCGUAACAAGGUAUC